Long non-coding RNA from Triticum aestivum (bread wheat), 1035 nucleotides. RefSeq lists it as uncharacterized. NCBI's taxonomy places the organism in Eukaryota, Viridiplantae, Streptophyta, Magnoliopsida, Poales, Poaceae. The transcript is spliced from 4 exons. The record is from RefSeq and is a predicted model, not a curated record.
CCGCCCCCUCCUCCCAAUCCCCUAUGGUCGUCGCCUCCCGUCCGGUGCCGCCGCACCACACAGCCGGCGGUUGACCCCACACCGCUGCUGCUCCCACUCCUCCAGCGCCAUCUCCCCCCAUCGACCGCCGCCCUGUCGCCCCGUCGCCGUCCAGCCAGUCGCCUCCGUCGCCGGCCAACGCUGGACCGUCGACGUCCAGCCACCCCUCGUGCGCCCUCCAGCCAUUCUAGCGGCGCCUUCAUCCCCGACGACCGGCGCCCCUCGCAGUCUUGUAGUACAGUGCCCCUCAAAAGAACACCUAUUACACAGCUCUGAAAGCAGCAGAUCCACUACAUUGGAAGGACCGUGAUCUCGAUCCAGAAAUCAUGUACUCCUCCAGUGGUGGCAUGCCCAUGGGCGACUAGCAAUAGGUGAUGGUGCUAUAAAGAAAGCAGUGGUAGUUGCAAAAGCUAGAGAGAAUGACACAAGGCCAUCAAACUCCAUAUCAUACCAUUGUUUAUUGAAGGAAAAUGCUCAACUUAAAAGGCGCUGCAAGAAUAAUUUUGUUCUGAGCAAACAUGUACAGGGGUUUUAUGGCAAGCUAGGAUGGGAAGUACCCGAAGAUCUUCUUGCCUACCAAGAUGAGCUGAUGGAUGGCGGUGAUCUGGUGAAUGAAAUACCCCAGGCCCAAGAGGAUGGUGGUACUCCAAUGACAGAUUCUUCACAUGAUGAAAGGCAUGUUGAUGCUGGUACUCAAAUGGAUGAUCAUGGUUCUGGUCCGACACAUGAAAAUCAUUUAGGAAUGCCAUAGUUAUAAUUAGUGCUUGUACUGGUAACUAUGUGCACGAACCCUUUUAUUUGUCAAUCGCUACUACUGAUGGAAAUUUAGGACUCUAGUAUAUCUUUUGGUCUGGCUAAGAACUAGUGUUAAGUUGAGCUUUUGGUAAUUAUGCGAAUCUGGUGAACAUGGAGGUUUGUGUAAUGGGUAUAUAUUGUGAGCUAUGAAUGGGAUGCCAUCUUAAACUAGGCUAUGUGACCUUUGUUUGUGCAAGAAUA